This 832-nucleotide ribosomal RNA is filed under the name uncultured bacterium. RNAcentral's name for it is "bacterial SSU rRNA". It matches the Rfam family "Bacterial small subunit ribosomal RNA", at positions 8 to 884 of the family's 1533-position model. The record is from RNAcentral.
AGAGUUUGAUCAUGGCUCAGAUUGAACGCUGGCGGCAGGCCUAACACAUGCAAGUCGAGCGGUAGAGAGAAGCUUGCUUCUCUUGAGAGCGGCGGACGGGUGAGUAAUACCUAGGAAUCUGCCUGAUAGUGGGGGAUAACGUUCGGAAACGGACGCUAAUACCGCAUACGUCCUACGGGAGAAAGCAGGGGACCUUCGGGCCUUGCGCUAUCAGAUGAGCCUAGGUCGGAUUAGCUAGUUGGUGAGGUAAUGGCUCACCAAGGCUACGAUCCGUAACUGGUCUGAGAGGAUGAUCAGUCACACUGGAACUGAGACACGGUCCAGACUCCUACGGGAGGCAGCAGUGGGGAAUAUUGGACAAUGGGCGAAAGCCUGAUCCAGCCAUGCCGCGUGCGUGAAGAAGGUCUUCGGAUUGUAAAGCACUUUAAGUUGGGAGGAAGGGCAGUUACCUAAUACGUGAUUGUCUUGACGUUACCGACAGAAUAAGCACCGGCUAACUCUGUGCCAGCAGCCGCGGUAAUACAGAGGGUGCAAGCGUUAAUCGGAAUUACUGGGCGUAAAGCGCGCGUAGGUGGUUUGUUAAGUUGAAUGUGAAAUCCCCGGGCUCAACCUGGGAACUGCAUCCAAAACUGGCAAGCUAGAGUAUGGUAGAGGGUAGUGGAAUUUCCUGGUGUAGCGGUGAAAUGCGUAGAAAUAGGAAGGAACACCAGGUGGCGAAUGCGACUACCUGGACUGAUACUGACACUGAGUGCGAAAGCGUGGGGAGCAAACAGGAUUAGAUACCCUGGUAGUCCACGCGUAACGAUGUCACUAGCCCCGUUUGGGGAGUCUG